RNAcentral lists this transfer RNA (66 nucleotides) under Bovicola bovis (cattle chewing louse). RNAcentral's name for it is "tRNA-Ser". Lineage: Eukaryota; Metazoa; Arthropoda; Insecta; Psocodea; Bovicoliidae. The record is from RNAcentral.
AACCGGCUAGUCUAAUAGUAAGACUCAAACUUUGAAAGUUUAGAAUAGGGGCUACCCUGCUGGUUU